Molecule: transfer RNA, 78 nt
Filed under: Tepidanaerobacter syntrophicus
Lineage: Bacteria; Bacillati; Bacillota; Clostridia; Thermosediminibacterales; Tepidanaerobacteraceae
Description: tRNA-His
Rfam family: tRNA
About the family: Transfer RNA (tRNA) molecules are approximately 80 nucleotides in length. Their secondary structure includes four short double-helical elements and three loops (D, anti-codon, and T loops). Further hydrogen bonds mediate the characteristic L-shaped molecular structure. tRNAs have two regions of fundamental functional importance: the anti-codon, which is responsible for specific mRNA codon recognition, and the 3' end, to which the tRNAs corresponding amino acid is attached (by aminoacyl-tRNA synthetases). tRNAs cope with the degeneracy of the genetic code in two manners: having more than one tRNA (with a specific anti-codon) for a particular amino acid; and 'wobble' base-pairing, i.e. permitting non-standard base-pairing at the 3rd anti-codon position.
Source: RNAcentral
GUGGGUAUAGCUCAGCUUGGUUAGAGCGCCAGAUUGUGGCUCUGGAGGCCGUGGGUUCGAAUCCCACUAUCCACCCCA